Molecule: ribosomal RNA, 930 nt
Filed under: Halobacteriovorax vibrionivorans
Lineage: Bacteria; Pseudomonadati; Bdellovibrionota; Bacteriovoracia; Bacteriovoracales; Halobacteriovoraceae
Description: bacterial SSU rRNA
Rfam family: Bacterial small subunit ribosomal RNA
Source: RNAcentral
GCACCUUCGGGUGUGAGUAGAGUGGCGCACGGGUGAGUAACGCGUAGGUAAUCUGCCUCAUAGCGGGGGAUAACCAGGAGAAAUUCUGGCUAAUACCGCAUACGAUCUACGACAUGGAAAAAGUAGAUGAAAGAAUGCCUCUCCUUGGAAGCAUUUACUAUGAGAUGAGCCUGCGUUGCAUUAGCUUGUUGGUGGGGUAACGGCCUACCAAGGCAACGAUGCAUAGCUGGUCUGAGAGGACGAUCAGCCACACUGGAACUGAGACACGGUCCAGACUCCUACGGGAGGCAGCAGUGGGGAAUAUUGCGCAAUGGGGGAAACCCUGACGCAGCAAUGCCGCGUGAGUGAGGAAGGCCUUCGGGUUGUAAAGCUCUGUCAAAUAGGAAGAAUUCCUCUGGGUCCAAUAGGCCUAGAGAUUGACGGUACUAUUAAAGGAAGCACCGGCUAACUUCGUGCCAGCAGCCGCGGUAAUACGAAGGGUGCAAGCGUUGUUCGGAUUUACUGGGCGUAAAGCGCGCGCAGGCGGAUUUAUAAGCCAGAUGUGAAAUCUCGGGGCUCAACCCCGAAACUGCGUCUGGAACUGUAGAUCUAGAGUUAUGGAGGGGAGAGCGGAAUUUCGCAUGUAGGGGUAAAAUCCGUAGAGAUGCGAAGGAACACCAGAGCCGAAGGGGGCUCUCUGGCCAUCAACUGACGCUGAGGCGCGAAAGCGUGGGGAGCAAACAGGAUUAGAUACCCUGGUAGUCCACGCCGUAAACGAUGAGUACUAGAUAUUGGGGGUUUGACCCUCUCAGUGUCAAAGCUAACGCAUUAAGUACUCCGCCUGGGAAGUACGGUCGCAAGACUAAAACUCAAGGAAUUGACAGGGGCCCGCACAAGCGGUGGAUUAUGUGGUUUAAUUCGAAGCAACGCGCAGAACCUUACCUGGGCUUG